GAGCUCCUGCAUUGUUUCUUACACAAGAGGAAAAAGUUGUGCAGAUAUUUGCAAGCUGUACUGUAGCAUUGAACAUCCAGGGACCUGGUCCCUUUUCAUCAUCUGCUCAUCAUCAAACUAAGAUACAAAAGUUUUCCCCCUUUUUAAUGAUGACAAACCAUCCAUAGAAUUUUGAGCAUCAAUACACAUUCAUCAUAUUUAAUCUGUGUGAUUACCACUACUGAAAAUGAAUGUUCACCCUAUUAUGAAACACCAACCAUGCUUCCAUCAACAUGCAACUUAGGGACCUAGUCCCUUGUUGUUA
Molecule: long non-coding RNA, 304 nt
Filed under: Capsicum annuum
Lineage: Eukaryota; Viridiplantae; Streptophyta; Magnoliopsida; Solanales; Solanaceae
Description: long non-coding RNA (CANN_LNC008263)
Source: RNAcentral